CUUGUUGAAAAGCACAGGUUUCUGGCUCUCAGCAGAAUUUCUAAUUAGUAAGUCUGAGGUGGAGCCCAGGAAUCUGCUUUUUGUGUGCCUUCCC
This 94-nucleotide microRNA precursor is filed under the name Echinops telfairi (small Madagascar hedgehog). Its description in RNAcentral is "miRNA (ENSETEG00000023909.1)". Lineage: Eukaryota; Metazoa; Chordata; Mammalia; Afrosoricida; Tenrecidae. The record is from RNAcentral.